Long non-coding RNA from Alexandromys fortis (reed vole), 1284 nucleotides. RefSeq lists it as uncharacterized. The transcript is spliced from 3 exons. Lineage: Eukaryota; Metazoa; Chordata; Mammalia; Rodentia; Cricetidae. The record is from RefSeq and is a predicted model, not a curated record.
CAAACCUCAUGCCCUACCCUGGGCAGGUGGAGGGCCCGAGGCUGAGGCUGUGGGAGGCCCAGGACACCUAGGAUCCACCAGGCCUGACUGGGACACAGUGACUGCGCUGACCAGGUCUGGCAUCUGGAGAAAGGAAACUUUGUGUUUUGUCUCCCCCUGCUGGCCAGUAGUGGCAUUGCGGCACUUGAGAGGGUCACCUGGAGGACACCGCCUUUGGUUCAACUUUUCCUUGAGGCUGAGCCAGUUGGCAUGAGACUUAAAAUCUGCUGCUCAAGACAACUACUACCAGGGCCAAAAGAAAAAGAGGAUCACCUGACAUCUUGUCAGGAGCCUGCCCAAGACCAGGAUUUCUCUGUAGCCCUGGACUUCCUGGAACUCGCUCUGUAGACCAGAUUGGCUUCAAACUCACAGAGAUCCACCUGCCUCUGCCUCCAGGGUGCUGGGAUUAAAGACACAUGCCACCACUGCCUGGCCACGUGUCCUCUUUGAGUGAGAACUCCAGCCGUAUUCCACCCCGGUCAACUGUGACAGCACCUGCAAAGGACCUGUUUCCAAAUAAGAUCACAUCCGUAGGCACCUGGGCUAGGAUCCCAAUAUGUCUUUUGGAGGGCACAGUUUAUCCCACGGCAUAACCCAACCGCUGUCAGCACUGCUGUGGGGUUGCUCCUGCAGUUCUCGGGGUCCACACUGACUCAGGACUUUGGUUCCUGGACUUCCUCUUCCCCGGGAAACUUUGGCCAGCCUUCUCACCACCGCCUCGUGCCUUACAGAAAACCUCGCUCCCCAUAAGGAAGGUGCCCACAAUGAGAUGCCCAGUAUGAGGGUAUUCAAUGUCCUGGCCUCACCUUCACCUCCCUCAGAGCCUCAGUUUCCCCAUCCUGGCCCAAGACUUGGGCUCUGACCAACCAUCUUCCCUGGCUAGGCCACAGCGUCUCUCUAUCCAGUAACUUCUGUCCCUUGAGGGACUCUGAUGACAAGGUCAUCCUCAUGCUGGCCUCCUGCCCACCUGUGCGCAGCUGAGAGGGUUCAGCUCCCAGCAGCACCUGAGCCGCGGGUGCUAUUACGGUGACACCAGACAGCUUAUGUGGCUGUAGGUUUUGAGACCAGACUGGGUGCCUAUUAAGAUCCUGUCUCAGAAAACCAAACCACUGGGACUGGAGAGAGGACUCAGUGGCUGAGAGUAACAGUUGCUCUUGCAGAGGACCCGGUCUCAGUUCCCAGCACCCAUGUGGGAGCUCAUAGCUGUCUGUAACUCCAGUUUGCAGGGCAUAUGACGCCCUCUCC